UGGGGAAUAUUGGACAAUGGGCGAAAGCCUGAUCCAGCCAUGCCGCGUGUGUGAAGAAGGUCUUCGGAUUGUAAAGCACUUUAAGUUGGGAGAAAGGGCAGUAAGCGAAUACCUUGCUGUUUUGACGUUACCGACAGAAUAAGCACCGGCUAACUCUGUGCCAGCAGCCGCGGUAAUACAGAGGGUGCAAGCGUUAAUCGGAAUUACUGGGCGUAAAGCGCGCGUAGGUGGUUCGUUAAGUUGAAUGUGAAAGCCCCGGGCUCAACCUGGGAACUGCAUCCAAAACUGGCGAGCUAGAGUAGGGCAGAGGGUGGUGGAAUUUCCUGUGUAGCGGUGAAAUGCGUAGAUAUAGGAAGGAACACCAGUGGCGAAGGCGACCACCUGGGCUCAUACUGACACUGAGGUGCGAAAGCGUGGGGAGCAAACAGG
This 429-nucleotide ribosomal RNA is filed under the name Pseudomonadota bacterium. RNAcentral's name for it is "Proteobacteria bacterium partial 16S ribosomal RNA". It matches the Rfam family "Bacterial small subunit ribosomal RNA", at positions 355 to 776 of the family's 1533-position model. The record is from RNAcentral. Lineage: Bacteria; Pseudomonadati; Pseudomonadota.